Molecule: ribosomal RNA, 492 nt
Filed under: uncultured bacterium
Lineage: Bacteria
Description: partial 16S ribosomal RNA
Rfam family: Bacterial small subunit ribosomal RNA
Source: RNAcentral
AGUGAACGCUGGCGGUAGGCCUAACACAUGCAAGUCGAACGGCAGCACAGUAAGAGCUUGCUCUUACGGGUUGCGAGUGGCGGACGUGUGGGGAAGACAUCGUAAUCUACUUUGUCGUGGGGGAUAACGUAGGGAAACUUACGCUAACACCGCAUACGACCUACCGGUGAAAGCAGGGGAUCUUCGGACCUUGCGCGAUUGAAUGAGCCGAUGUCGGAUUAGCUAGUUGGCGGGGUAAAGGCCCACCACGGCGACGAUCCGUAGCUGGUCUGAGAGGAUGAUCAGCCACACUGGAACUGAGACACGGUCCAGACUCCUACGGGAGGCAGCAGUGGGGAAUAUUGGACAAUGGGCGAAGGCCUGAUCCAGCAAUCCCGCGUGGGUGAAGAAGGCCUUGGGGUUGUAAAGCCCUUUUUUUGGGAAAGAAAAGCAGCAGGUUAAUACCCUGCUGUUCUGACGGUACCCAAAGAAUAAGCACCGGCUAACUUCGUG